This 335-nucleotide unclassified non-coding RNA is filed under the name soil metagenome. Its description in RNAcentral is "partial contains 5.8S ribosomal RNA, internal transcribed spacer 2, and large subunit ribosomal RNA". The stretch from base 1 to 120 matches the Rfam family "5.8S ribosomal RNA", at positions 35 to 154 of the family's 154-position model. The record is from RNAcentral.
GAUGAAGAACGUAGCGAAAUGCGAUAAGUAAUGUGAAUUGCAGAAUUCAGUGAAUCAUCGAAUCUUUGAACGCACAUUGCGCCCAUUAGUAUUCUAGUGGGCAUGCCUGUUCGAGCGUCAUUUCAACCCUUAAGCCUAGCUUAGUAUUGGGAAUCGACUUUACUGUCGUUCCUCAAAUUCAACGGCGGAUUUAUAGCAAUUUCUGAACGUAGUAAUUUUUUUCCUCGUUUUUGAAAUACUAUAAACCUCAGCCGCUAAACCCCCAAUUUUUCUAUGGUUGACCUCGGAUCAGGUAGGAAUACCCGCUGAACUUAAGCAUAUCAAUAAGCGGAGGA